Non-coding RNA from Crotalus tigris (Tiger rattlesnake), 946 nucleotides. The record is from the annotation of a RefSeq genome assembly. NCBI's taxonomy places the organism in Eukaryota, Metazoa, Chordata, Lepidosauria, Squamata, Viperidae.
UUAUUUAGCAUAUCCAUCAAGGUAAUAUGGUAAAGAACUAAACAAACUGGUUUCUUCCAGAUGUUUUGGACCUCAAUUUAUACUAGUUCCAGCCAAUAUGCCCAGUGAAGAGGUGAAUCCAUUUAUCUUAAAAUAACAGCAAUAUUGCAAAUCAAGGUUUUAUUGUUUUUAUCCCUGUAUAACACACUGGGACUGUAAGUAGAGAGAUGGUCAGAGAAUAGAACCGUUCUAACACAACAACAAAGUUUUUUGAGUUAGAUGUUUAUUAUGAUACAUGGAAAACACAUUGUGUGUCAAUGAGAAACUGCACUUUGGUCAAGGAACCAGGCUUACUGUUCUAGAAAAGGGACACUUUAUCACCCCCCCAACUGUGACUAUAUUUUCUCCAUCCAAGAGAGAACUGGGAAAAAAGCAGAAAGCUACAAUUGUAUGUUUGGCCACUGAUUUCUAUCCAGAUCAUGUCAUUCUUACAUGGUCCCUAAACAACAAUCCUAUAACAGAGGGAAUAAAGACAGAGGAGCCCAAAUAUGAAAAUAAGAAAUAUUCACUGAUCAGCCGUUUAAGAAUUACUAAGAACCAGUGGCAGAAUUCAAAAAACAACUUCAAGUGCAAAGUCGAUUUCUACAAUUCUUCUACAAGCACAAGUUAUGAAGCUUCAAUAACUGGAGAAGAAUGUGGUAGCAACUCCUCCACCAAUGAUUCGUAUCUUAGGCAAGCCAAUCUUGGAAAACUGGUGUAUAUUCUUCUCAUUUUCAAGAGUGCCUUGUAUGGGGCAUUUAUAAUGCACUUGAAACUAAGAAAGAAAGUCUUGUGACAGUUGAUGCAAUAGAAGCCUUUUGCCUGGGGACAUCAUGUCUGAGUUGAAUGAAUGCUGGAGAGAGAAGAAGAAUGAUUCUUGCCUUCAAAGUCUGGAGUAGCAUUCCGAUUCUUUUUUUAAAAAAAUAAA